ACUCAAAGGAAUUGACGGGGGCCCGCACAAGCGGUGGAUUAUGUGGUUUAAUUCGAAGCAACGCGCAGAACCUUACCUAGGCUUGACAUCCCUUGACAAACGUAGAAAUACGUCUUUGUAGCAAUACACAAGGAGACAGGUGCUGCAUGGCUGUCGUCAGCUCGUGUUGUGAAAUGUUGGGUUAAGUCCCGCAACGAGCGCAACCCCUGGAUUUAGUUGCCAGCAUUAAGUUGGGCACUCUAAAUCAACUGCCAGCGUUAAGCUGGAGGAAGGUGGGGAUGACGUCAAGUCCUCAUGGCCCUUACGCCUAGGGCUACACACGUAAUACAAUGGAUGGGACAAAGGGUCGCCAACUCGCAAGAGGGAGCUAAUCUCAAAAACCCAUCCUCAGUUCGGAUUGGGGGCUGCAAUUCGCCCCCAUGAAGGCGGAAUCGCUAGUAAUCGUGGAUCAGAACGCCACGGUGAAUACGUUCCCGGGCCUUGUACACACCGCCCGU
Molecule: ribosomal RNA, 497 nt
Filed under: uncultured bacterium
Lineage: Bacteria
Description: partial 16S ribosomal RNA
Rfam family: Bacterial small subunit ribosomal RNA
Source: RNAcentral